UACGGGGGGGGCAAGCGUUGUUCGGAAUUACUGGGCGUAAAGGGCUCGUAGGCGGCCAACUAAGUCAGACGUGAAAUCCCCCGGCUUAACCGGGGAACUGCGUCUGAUACUGGAUGGCUUGAAUCCGGGAGAGGGAUGCAGAAUUCCAGGUGUAGCGGUGAAAUGCGUAGAUAUCUGGAGGAAUACCGGUGGCGAAGGCGGCAUCCUGGACCGGCAUUGACGCUGAGGAGCGAAAGCCAGGGGAGCAAACGGG
RNAcentral lists this ribosomal RNA (253 nucleotides) under uncultured bacterium. RNAcentral describes it as "partial 16S ribosomal RNA". It matches the Rfam family "Bacterial small subunit ribosomal RNA", at positions 524 to 776 of the family's 1533-position model. The record is from RNAcentral.